CCUCUCUCUCUCUCUCUCUCUCUCUAUGCGGAUCAAAACCCUCCAUCGGCUGCCCUUAUCACCUCUUGAACUGCAAUUUCAUUUUUGGCUUCUCCAAUCUGGAUUUCUCUGUAUGAAUGAGUUCCGAUCGGGAAAUAUUUACAUCUAGAACUUUUUGAUUGUAGAAAGGUUGGACAUUUUCUUUUAAUUUUUUUAAAAUUCGGUAUAUUUAUUUUAGAACUUUUUUCCAUCUGAAAUGUUUGAAUGUUUUUGUUUUUUCGAACAAUCCCUAGAUCCUUGUGGAGCUUCGAUUCCGAACGAAGCCCCUUUCUUAAUAACAAGGUAUUGUCUUUGUAUUCUACAAUGAAAAUUAAAUUUGUUUUGAUAGUGAAGGGCAUAAAAAGGAUAGAGCAUAAGUUUACUCCAUCAUUUAUCACUUUUAUGUACCUAAAUUAUUUUUAUUUCAUGUUUUUGUUGUGUGUUUUGGGUUCUAAUUUAUUACUUCUUUUUAUUUUUUAUUUUUUAUUAUUAUUUUUUGAGUUCUGUGAAACUCUUACAGUGGAACAUUACAUUAGCAACAAAA
Olea europaea var. sylvestris is the source of this 562-nucleotide long non-coding RNA. RefSeq lists it as uncharacterized. Lineage: Eukaryota; Viridiplantae; Streptophyta; Magnoliopsida; Lamiales; Oleaceae. The transcript has 2 exons. The record is from RefSeq and is a predicted model, not a curated record.